CACGGCUGAGAAAGGAGAAAGGAAAAGAAAGAAAGAGAGGAAGAGAGAAGGAAGAAGAAGAAGAAGGAAAAGGAGGGUUUUGCGCCACGCGAACCUCGCCUAGCCGAUCCGACUUCGUAUCGCAACGCCCGGAUUACAAGAUCGUCGGUUCGAGUGAGCGUCAUUAUAUGAUUUUUGGGGAUUCAGGUGAGUGGCCAAAUCCUUGAGAGCAAUGGUAGUGCGGCUGCAGCUCAAAAAGGAUAGUAUCGGGUCGGGUUGAGGGAUGGCAGUGCGGCUGCGCCUCUACCCCGAACGAG
Long non-coding RNA from Syzygium oleosum, 296 nucleotides. RefSeq lists it as uncharacterized. NCBI's taxonomy places the organism in Eukaryota, Viridiplantae, Streptophyta, Magnoliopsida, Myrtales, Myrtaceae. The record is from RefSeq and is a predicted model, not a curated record. The transcript has 3 exons.